RNAcentral lists this ribosomal RNA (465 nucleotides) under uncultured bacterium. Its description in RNAcentral is "partial 16S ribosomal RNA". It matches the Rfam family "Bacterial small subunit ribosomal RNA", at positions 339 to 795 of the family's 1533-position model. The record is from RNAcentral.
CUACGGGGUGCAGCAGUGAGGAAUAUUGCGCAAUGGGGGAAACCCUGACGCAGCGACGCCGCGUGGAUGAUGAAGGCCUUCGGGUCGUAAAAUCCUGUCAGAAGGAAAGAAGUGUAUGGUAGCUAAUAUCUGCCAUACUUGACGGUACCUUCAAAGGAAGCACCGGCUAACUCCGUGCCAGCAGCCGCGGUAAUACGGAGGGUGCAAGCGUUGUUCGGAAUUACUGGGCGUAAAGCGCGCGUAGGCGGUUUUAUAAGUCAGAUGUGAAAGUCCACGGCUCAACCAUGGAAGUGCAUUUGAAACUGUAAGACUUGAGUAUUGGAGGGGGUAGUGGAAUUCCCGGUGUAGAGGUGAAAUUCGUAGAUAUCGGGAGGAAUACCGGUGGCGAAGGCGACUAUCUGGCCAAAUACUGACGCUGAGGUGCGAAAGCGUGGGGAGCAAACAGGAUUAGAUACCCCAGUAGUC